Small nucleolar RNA from Tupaia belangeri (northern tree shrew), 131 nucleotides. The record is from Ensembl. Lineage: Eukaryota; Metazoa; Chordata; Mammalia; Scandentia; Tupaiidae.
GGCCUCUCUCCCAGGGGCCGUGAGGGGUCCCUUUACUUCUCAGCCAGGGCUGAAGGCCAAGAUCAGCCAUCCACGAUCAUCGUCAGGACUGCCAGCAGCUGGGCAGCUUCAUUUUCCCAGUUCAGGCAUUG